GUGUCAGCCGCCGCGGUAAUACGAACCGUCCAAACGUUAUUCGGAAUCACUGGGCUUAAAGGGUGCGUAGGCGGCCUGUUAAGUUGGGUGUGAAAUCCCUCGGCUCAACCGAGGAAUUGCGCCCAAUACUGGCGGGCUUGAGGGAGAUAGAGGUGAGCGGAACUUAGGGUGGAGCGGUGAAAUGCGUUGAUAUCCUAAGGAACACCGGUGGCGAAAGCGGCUCACUGGGUCUCUUCUGACGCUGAGGCACGAAAGCUAGGGGAGCGAACGGGAUUAGAAACCCCCGUAGUCC
This 292-nucleotide ribosomal RNA is filed under the name uncultured bacterium. Its description in RNAcentral is "partial 16S ribosomal RNA". It matches the Rfam family "Bacterial small subunit ribosomal RNA", at positions 505 to 796 of the family's 1533-position model. The record is from RNAcentral.